UGAACGCUGGCGGCGUGCCUAACACAUGCAAGUCGAACGAGAAAUUCCGACUUCGGUCGGGAGAGUAAAGUGGCGCACGGGUGAGUAACGCGUGGGUAACCUGCCCUCGAAUCUGGGAUAACUUCGCGAAAGCGUUGCUAAUACCGGAUAUCGUCCUUGGAGCCGUGGCUUCUUGGAUGAAAGGUAACCUCUUCAUGAAAGUUGCCGUUCGGGGAGGGGCUCGCGUACCAUUAGCUUGUUGGUGGGGUAAUGGCCUACCAAGGCUACGAUGGUUAGCUGGUCUGAGAGGAUGAUCAGCCACACUGGAACUGAAACACGGUCCAGACUCCUACGGGAGGCAGCAGUGAGGAAUUUUGCGCAAUGGGGGAAACCCUGACGCAGCAACGCCGCGUGAGUGAAGAAGGCUUUCGGGUCGUAAAGCUCUGUCGGAUGGGAAAAAAGUCUCAUGGUCAAUAGCCAUGGGAUUUGAUGGUACCAUUAGAGGAAGCACCGGCUAACUCC
This 501-nucleotide ribosomal RNA is filed under the name uncultured bacterium. RNAcentral describes it as "bacterial SSU rRNA". It matches the Rfam family "Bacterial small subunit ribosomal RNA", at positions 30 to 504 of the family's 1533-position model. The record is from RNAcentral.